This 467-nucleotide ribosomal RNA is filed under the name uncultured bacterium. RNAcentral's name for it is "partial 16S ribosomal RNA". It matches the Rfam family "Bacterial small subunit ribosomal RNA", at positions 28 to 506 of the family's 1533-position model. The record is from RNAcentral.
GACGAACGCUGGCGGCGUGCUUAACACAUGCAAGUCGAACGGAAAGGCCCUGCUUUUGUGGGGUGCUCGAGUGGCGAACGGGUGAGUAACACGUGAGUAACCUGCCCUUGACUUUGGGAUAACUUCAGGAAACUGGGGCUAAUACCGGAUAGGAGCUCCUGCUGCAUGGUGGGGGUUGGAAAGUUUCGGCGGUUGGGGAUGGACUCGCGGCUUAUCAGCUUGUUGGUGGGGUAGUGGCUUACCAAGGCUUUGACGGGUAGCCGGCCUGAGAGGGUGACCGGCCACAUUGGGACUGAGAUACGGCCCAGACUCCUACGGGAGGCAGCAGUGGGGAAUAUUGCACAAUGGGCGGAAGCCGGAGGCAGCAACGCCGCGUGCGGGAGGACGGCCUUCGGGUUGUAAACCGCUUUCGCCUGUGACGAAGCGUGAGUGACGGGAAUGGGUAAAGAAGCACCGGCUAACUACGU